UCCAUUAAGAUUUAUAUUAAAUGUUUUAUUAAGCGCUAGUUUUUACUCAUUUAAAAAUUCUUAAUUUUUUUUUAGUGUAAGAGACGUUUUCUAUAACUCUAAUCUCUGGAGAAAAUGUGAGUAGCUUGCAGGUACAAAACUCCACAAUUACAUUUUGUGUGGUGUGUGAUUUUGUUUCAUACUUGUGAAAAUGUCAUGGUUAUAAAGGACAAAGGACAAAAAGUUGAACAAUAAUUUCCUGGCUCUCAGUUCAUCAGAGAUUGAUUAAAAACAGCCUCUUUUGGAUCUGAAUAUUGCAGUAAAUGAAAUAUGCUUUCAUGAGCCUGGGGGAAAAAAUAAAAUAAAAAAAUAAUUAGUUUGGGGGCAAGGCCAGCAGGAUCAUGCCCUUCAUGUUUUCAUGCAUUUAAGGGACAAGCUAAACACAUGCACUGAACAUCAGGUUCCUCCUCAUGCUCCCGCCUCUAGAUGCCACACUGUUCAGCCACAACGCCUAUAGGGAAGAUACGCUCUCCUACACACUCACAGCGAUCAGCCCAGCAUGUGCCCUCAUGAAUGCCAAUCAUACAAUAACAUCCCAUGAGGUUAGAUGGUCAAUAUUAGAAGCCACAGAUGGUGUUUAGGAGGACAAUGGUUUUAAAAAAAAAAAAAAAAAAAGUACAAAAAAAAGCAGGAGUCUUGUGAGCUAAUUCAUAGCGUUAACUAUAUUUUAAAAAAUAAAUUUAAAUUCAGAGGGAAAAAGAUAUGGUAUAGUAGUCCACAAGUAAAUUAAUCAAUGAAUUAUAGGAGAAAAAAAGUUAAAAAGAAGGAUGCAGAAAAAAGAAACAAAUGAAUAUGAAAUAGGUCAAAAAAGUUACUAGAAAGCAAUACACAUAAAAGAAAUAUUAAAAAUGACAGUAUAACUAAAAAAAAUACCUCAAAAUAUAACUAAUUUUUUUUUUAAAACUUUUACAUUUUCAAUAAACAUAAAAAAUAUUAAAAAUGAGAACAUGACUGAAAAGAAAAACCAAGUUAAGUUAGUUAAAUCAUUAAAAAAAAAUAAUAAUAAACAUAAAAAAAUAUUAAAAAUGAGAGUAUAACUAAAAAGAAAAAACAAGUUGAGUUCAAUAAUUAAAAAAAUAAUAAUAAUAAUAAUAAUAAACAUAAAAAAAUAUUAAAAAUGAGAGUAUAACUAAAAAGAAAAACAAAGUUAAGUUAGUUAAAUAAUUUAAAAAAAAAUAAUAAACAUAAAAAAAUAUUAAAAAUGAGUAUAACUUUAAAGAUUAAAAACAAGUUAAGUUAGUUAUAUAUUUUAACAUUUUAAAGUACAAAUCUGGAGAAAAUGAAUCAAUGAAUAAAGUGAAAUAAAAACUUCAUUAAUAUUGUACAAAAACAAGAAAAGUCCAAGAAAAGUGACAAAUAUUUUUUAUACUUAAUUAUCAUUAUAAUUUUGUUACUUGCCCAUCCCUAACCUUGAUGAGAGAGUUUGUGUACACGUAGAAGUCUACGCAAAAGAUGACGUAUCGAAAACGUACUAUUGAGGGAGGGUUAUCGUCCACAAAACUCGGAGAGCUAAACCAGCUCUGCCAUCUGACAGGAUACUUUGGCACGGUGACUCUCGACUCACCUGGGCACCAAGGUCAAGAGGACAACGCUUUGGAAAUGAUGGGAAUUCAACUUGACCAUGGAAAAAGCAUUAAAAUCUCAUCUUUCUUCAGCAUUGAUGAACAUUUGGGACAAACUUGACAAUUCUAGCCAUGGGGAGAAGUCAAGACAAGAUCGACAGUUUUGACCUCUGAAUGCUGUACUGUAUAUAAGAAUAUAUUGUACAUUUACAUUGUUUUGUCUGCACAAAUGUUUUCAGUUGUAAUGUUGAGUUGUUGCUUUUUUGGGUUACACUUUAUUUCGAUGGUCCACUUUAUUUAUUUAUAUUUUUAUUUUUUAUUUUGCAUGCCCACCUGAUUGUCUGUUGACAAACAGACAAACAUUGUCAGAUGGGUGUAGCUCUUAUCUUCAGUGUGUAACAGAUUUUGAUAAUGUCAGGUAAUCUCCAUCCUCAAUUGUCAGUACACUAACACAGCACUAAUGAAGUAGUGUGUUACUCUAAUUUGCAUUUAAUUGAGGGUUAAUGCCACUGUUCCUUUGAACAGAAGUCUUCUCUGCAGGCAAAUUCUCAAAUGCAAAGGUCCUGGUUGGAGUGAUUGUAUUUAGAUUGCACAAUACAUCAACCUGUAUGUCUUUUGUGCCACACCUGUGACAGUUUCGACCAGUGUGGAUUGUAAAGACUUGGUCACAGCAGUGAUGACAUUAUUAAACUGUAAAAUAAAAACUGAAAUUCUCAAUUCAA
Long non-coding RNA from Ctenopharyngodon idella (grass carp), 2323 nucleotides. RefSeq lists it as uncharacterized. Lineage: Eukaryota; Metazoa; Chordata; Actinopteri; Cypriniformes; Xenocyprididae. The transcript has 2 exons. The record is from RefSeq and is a predicted model, not a curated record.